Molecule: ribosomal RNA, 945 nt
Filed under: Campylobacter hyointestinalis
Lineage: Bacteria; Pseudomonadati; Campylobacterota; Epsilonproteobacteria; Campylobacterales; Campylobacteraceae
Description: bacterial SSU rRNA
Rfam family: Bacterial small subunit ribosomal RNA
Source: RNAcentral
CGCCGCGUGGAGGAUGACACUUUUCGGAGCGUAAACUCCUUUUCUUAGGGAAGAACAAUGACGGUACCUAAGGAAUAAGCACCGGCUAACUCCGUGCCAGCAGCCGCGGUAAUACGGAGGGUGCAAGCGUUACUCGGAAUCACUGGGCGUAAAGGACGCGUAGGCGGAUUAUCAAGUCUUUUGUGAAAUCUAAUGGCUUAACCAUUAAACUGCUUGAGAAACUGAUAAUCUAGAGUGAGGGAGAGGCAGAUGGAACUGGUGGUGUAGGGGUAAAAUCCGUAGAGAUCACCAAGAAUACCCAUUGCGAAGGCGAUCUGCUAGAACUCAACUGACGCUAAUGCGUGAAAGCGUGGGGAGCAAACAGGAUUAGAUACCCUGGUAGUCCACGCCCUAAACGAUGCAUACUCGUUGUUGCUCUGCUAGUCAGGGCAGUAAUUCAGCUAACGCAUUAAGUAUGCCGCCUGGGGAGUACGGUCGCAAGAUUAAAACUCAAAGGAAUAGACGGGGACCCGCACAAGCGGUGGAGCAUGUGGUUUAAUUCGAAGAUACGCGAAGAACCUUACCUGGGCUUGAUAUCCUAAGAACCUCUUAGAGAUAAGGGGGUGCUAGCUUGCUAGAACUUAGAGACAGGUGCUGCACGGCUGUCGUCAGCUCGUGUCGUGAGAUGUUCGGUUAAGUCCGGCAACGAGCGCAACCCACGUAUUUAGUUGCUAACAGUUUGGCUGAGCACUCUAAAUAUACUGCCUUCGUAAGGAGGAGGAAGGUGUGGACGACGUCAAGUCAUCAUGGCCCUUAUGCCCAGGGCGACACACGUGCUACAAUGGCAUAUACAAUGAGACGCAAUAUCGCGAGAUGGAGCAAAUCUAUAAAAUAUGUCCCAGUUCGGAUUGUUCUCUGCAACUCGAGAGCAUGAAGCCGGAAUCGCUAGUAAUCGUAGAUCAGCCA